Alexandromys fortis (reed vole) is the source of this 782-nucleotide long non-coding RNA. RefSeq lists it as uncharacterized. NCBI's taxonomy places the organism in Eukaryota, Metazoa, Chordata, Mammalia, Rodentia, Cricetidae. The transcript has 4 exons. The record is from RefSeq and is a predicted model, not a curated record.
UGCAAGCCCCGCCCCUGCUUCUGUCAAUCACUCUUAAAAGAAGACUUUCUCUCCUCAGCUCCUGAAGCCCAGGGUUGAGCUUUCGGUAAUUAGACCAUACACAGAGAUCGGCAACGGAGUCGGAGCACAACUUCCUGGCAGAAAGAGGCAUCAAACCAAGUGGAGAGAAAGUUGAACUCAAGGGCAAACCCCUUAAGGCCAGUCUCACACACGGAGGGACCCAGACCCCGAUGAAGCCCGAGCCACUGAGCCUGUUUGGCUCUACCCUCAUUUCUCAUGGAAUUCUCUGGGACCUCCUGGAUCUGCUUGAAGCCCACUGAGCUUAGAUUUCUGUCUGUGAUUUUAACACGGCACGGAGACAAGAAGGCAGAUUGGAGACAUCUAUUUCUCGUACCUCAUUGCAAAUGCAGGUUUGAUGCCAUUGAUGAGAGAGCUGGGAUUACAAAUCCUGACCAUUUUAACAGACGUUUGGGAAGGGAAACAGAAGAAGAAUAAUUUUGAGGUAUCUCCAAUAACCAAAGGAAGGGAGGGGGAGCUAAUAAAAAAUAUAUUUUCAGUUAUUUGGAUGAACUAAAGCUUGGGUUGAAAUGUCAAUUGCUCCCCCUUGGUUAGCACAUGAAACUUGAACUCCUGGCCUUGCAAAUUGGGUCUUGAAUUAAGCCCAAGCCACCAUUUCUAACUUUAUUGGCAACCAUUUCUAACCAUGUAUCCUAAGCUACAGCUUCCCUAAACAAACCCAGUGAGCAUGUCUCUGCUGCCACUUGCCCCUUCCUCUGAAUGCU